UACGUAGGUGGCAAGCGUUAUCCGGAAUUAUUGGGCGUAAAGCGCGCGUAGGCGGUUUUUUAAGUCUGAUGUGAAAGCCCACGGCUCAACCGUGGAGGGUCAUUGGAAACUGGAAAACUUGAGUGCAGAAGAGGAAAGUGGAAUUCCAUGUGUAGCGGUGAAAUGCGCAGAGAUAUGGAGGAACACCAGUGGCGAAGGCGACUUUCNUGGUCUGUAACUGACGCUGAUGUGCGAAAGCGUGGGGAUCAAACAGGAUUAGA
This 260-nucleotide ribosomal RNA is filed under the name uncultured Staphylococcus sp. RNAcentral's name for it is "partial 16S ribosomal RNA". It matches the Rfam family "Bacterial small subunit ribosomal RNA", at positions 524 to 782 of the family's 1533-position model. The record is from RNAcentral. Lineage: Bacteria; Bacillati; Bacillota; Bacilli; Caryophanales; Staphylococcaceae.